GUUAUUAUGAGAUACUAAGUCAUAAUUAUGAGAAAGUUUCUCAUUAUUACAAGAAAGUUUCUCGUUAUUAUGAGAAACUGUCAUUAUUAUAAGAAAGUUUCUCAUUAUUAUGAGAAAGUUUCUCGUUAUUAAGAGAAACUAAGUCAUUAUUACGAGAAAGUUUCUUAUUAUUAUGACAUAGUAAGUCAUUAUUAUGAGAAAGUUUCUCAAUAUUAUGACUUAAAGAAUCAUAUUUUUUACUUUACUGUGGCGGAAACGGGCUUCCAUAGUUUACUUCCAUUUCAUGCCAACUUUAACUGGUGUUAGAGUGUUAUAGCAAGACCUGCACCCUCUAGAAUGUUUUCAGGGUAACACUUCACAAUAAGGUUCAUUAGUUAACAUUAGUUAACUAAUUAACAUGAACUAAUAAUGAACUGCACUUCUACAGCCUUUAUCAAUCUUUAUUAAUGUUAAUUUCAACAUUUACUAAUACAUUAUUAAAUCAAGAGUCGUAUAUAGUUAAUGCACUGUGAACUAAUAUGAACAAUGAACAGCUGUAUUUUUAUUAACUAACGUUAACAAAGAUUAACAAAUACAGUAACAAAUGUAUUGCUCAUUGUUAGUUCAUGUUAGUUGAUACAUUAACUAAUGUUAACAAAUUAACCUUAUUGUAAAGUGUUACCAUUUUCAGUUUUCAGCAGGUAUUUUGAUUAAUUUUAUUUGACCAAAUUAAUUUGCUAACUACUCAAGAGAUUUAAGUAGUUCCAUUUUUAGUUCAAAAGUGAACAUUAUCAAGCUUCACUCAUUAAACCUAAUGCACUGUAAUGAUAAAAGUUUUGGGAGUAACACAUUAUAAAAGUCAUUAUAUUACAGUAAUAUAUUAUUUUUUGCUGUAAGGCAGUAAUAUAACACAUUACUAAUAAAAUUUGGGUAAUAUUAUACUUAUUGCAAUCUCAGUAACGCACGUUACAACAACGCAUUUUAAUCCGAAAUUAAAGGGCAUCUAUUAUGCAAAAUCCACUUUUACAAGGUUUUUGGAUAUAAAUGUGUGUUGGCAGUGUGUGAACACAACCACCCUACAGUAGCUAUGUUUCCAUCCAAAGUUGCGUAUUUAACUUAUGCACAAAUUUUGAAUAUCGCAUAGAACAUUUGCGAAUAAAGCACAGUUUCCAUCCAGCGAGUCAAAGAAAACAAAAACGUCACUUCCUGAACACUGGCGCUAAAUAUCACUAUGAAAAAUGUAAGUUUCUGCUAUAGAAGCCAUUGUAUAUAAUAUUUUUUAUAUAUAAUACAUUAUUUGCGCCUCAGUGCUUGCAGAUGAAACACAGUAAACGCUGUCAUGUUAUCUUGCAUUCAAAUGCCUGGUAUUUGUGAACGCAAUCAUGUGAGGCACUUCGGGGAGGGAAUUAAACCGAACCACUUUAACGACAGACUUUGCUCAGUCAUUAGAGAAUGACCAAAACAGCAUUUCAAAUGCUGUGCAAUGAGAUCAAUCCGCUGGUUGUUAUGAGAUCGAUCCAGUUAUGCUGUUACAUUGCAAAGUCACGUCUUUUUUGAUGCGCAUCAAGGAAUUUAUUCGGUAAAAGUGUUUCCAUCGUAGUUCAUGCGCAUGUUUUCAUGAUUUAUCCUACUCAUUGGAGCACAUAAGAUUUUUAUGCGCAUUUUUAGAAUCUAUGUGCAUCUUGGCAUUUCCAUCCAGCGUUUUUUUAUGCAAUAUCCUAAAAUGCCCAUAAAAAUAGGUGGAUGGAAACAUAGCUAAUUAUAAAAAUCCACCCACUCCUUUUUUUAAAUCCCCAUUAAACCAAAGCAGUCUCAUUAGACAAGCCGUUUUAAUUCUCUGAGCAAUGUGACGUUACAUUACUGAUGCCCCGCCCACGACCACUGACUGACAGUCCUGCAUUACCAUAGUUUCCGCCCUCAGCGAGCUGUACGCUGUCCGCCAUUUUCUCCGCGCUCGAGUAGCUGUAGCGAAAACGUCUGGUAAGUAACUGAGAUGUUUUGUUGUUGGAUGUGAACAUAACAGUCUUCAUUUACUGACAUCUGAGCCGCUGAACGCAGUGGAUUAGUUUUAUUUUUGAAGGGAAUGCACCACAGAUCUAAUAUACACAUACGAUUUCUGUAAUGUUACCUGCCAUUUACAUUCACAGACAUAACUGACUGUGUUUAUGUGAACUGUGUGUGUUUUCGACAACCUUGUGUGUAUUUGAGUUUAAACAAAACAAAAAAAUGUGAAAGAGAAGUUACUCACGAGACUUGACCUCUGACAGCCAGCUGUCUGUGUGUGUGUGCUUCAGUGCGCUCAGAAAACGAUAUAUUAGAAGUUUAAAAUGAUAUAGGUUUAAAACUUGUGGAAAUAAUAAACUUUAAUGAUUACAUUAAAACUAUGCUAUCCGUGAGAGUGAUCGUGAUAUAGAUGAUAAUCAAAACCAAGCAGAUGUCUUGUUAAUAUUUGGCAGAGAAUCCGAUUGAGGCAGAAACUGUGAUCGUAGAGAGGGGGCGGGGCACAGCAGCUUAUUUGCAUUUAAAGGCACAUGCACGAAACCAGCCUGUUCUUGACUGUAGUCAGAAAUAGGUAUUUACAACAUGGAUUUAAAAAUUAUCUGUGAGGUAUUUUAAGCUGAAACUUUACAGACACAUUCCUGGGAACAACUGAGACUUAAAUUACAUCUUGUAAAAAUGGGCAUAAUAGGUGCCCUUUAAGUGGUGAUAUUUUUUUUUUUCACCAACACUGUAAGACAUUCCAGCACCAGAGAAAAAAAUCCACGGUAAAAUAAAGUAAUAAGCCCCAAGAAGCCAUGGUUUACAGUUAAUUUAUAACAGCUAAGGGGCGUUGUUAGGCACGAUGCGGAGCGGUUAGGCAUGACAGGGCUUUUUGCUUUUAUAUAACGGUUACCAUACAAUACAAAUAUUAAAGACAAAAAAAUAUGUACAGUAUCAAUGAAGUAAAAUCACUAAAAGACUUCCUUCCGCUGGAAAAAUAGUCCCUGACCGUGAACAGCAACAGAAGUUACAUUUAUUACGCCUCUAGAUGCCGGCAAAGAUUGUCUCUAUGAGCGAGUCACUCAGUCGCAAAGACUUUUAUAUUGAAACUUGUUGUGAACACGGAACAAGACGCAAAUGACAAAUGCUUUGACUAGCACUGUCAGUGUCAGCAGGGCACAGGGGAAACCCAUUAAAUGUCAAAAGGACAAGAUCGCAGCAGACAUCAAGACAGAUUUUUUAUUAUAAACAUAGGACUGACCUGAAGGAAAAUGCUAAAUCUGAAUGCAGGUAAUACACUCGGUCACUCGAUAUCUCUCUCACAAUACUCUUCUACAUACAGUAGUAAGCUUCAGCGAACAAUAUCACUUUUUACGUUUCUAAGAGUGGUUGCUAAGGGUGUUGUGCAGUACUACACAGAACCGGGUGAAGCGGUCAUAGCCGUGUUUUAUCGUGAAUAAAACACAGCUAUUGACCAAUCUGGAACUAAUGGUAACACUUUAUUUUAGGGUCUUUUAACUAGUUGCUUAUUAGCAUGCAUAUUACUAGAAUAUUGGCUGUUUAUUGGUAAUUAUUAAGCACAUAUUAAUGCCUUAUUCUACAUGACCUUAUUCUACAUUCUUAAUCCUACCCAAUACCUAAAGUUAACAACUAACUUACUAACUAUUGACAAAGACUAUAGAAUAUUAAGACGUGUCACUUGUGUUGUUUUGAAUGGGAGAAAGUGCAACGCGCAAUAUGGCGGAAUUAGUCCCGCCUUCUAAAUAAGAGCCAAUCGUGAUUGGUAAUGUCAUUGCGUCACUGCAACGGCCGUUAGAAGCUCUGGUUCCUAUAGAAACAGUCAGAUGCGAAACAAGAGACGCGCAUUUAGGACUGCGCAUGCGCAUUAGCUUGAUCCAGCCUGAAAAAUACCUGUUUGUCAUGAUUUGAGCGAAUAGAAACAAAAUUUAUGAGACAGUUGUCAGAUUUCAUUGGUGAUUUCAAAUAUGAAAUUUAAUCGAAAGCUUGGCAAACAGCUUUGGAGAAUUUGAUGUUUCCCCAUUCAAAGAGGUAGGAGCUGCACUUGAAUGCCUGAGAGGCGUUUCAAAGAUGGCCGCCGAGUGAAAUGACUUAAAGGGACUUUGCUAUUAAUAAGCAGUAAAUUAGGAGUUUAUUGAGGGAAAAGUCAUAGUUAAUAGUGAAUACAUGUUCCCUAUACUAAAGUGUUACCGAACUAACCGUUUUAUAAAUAAUAAACAACAGUUACUUUUCAUUAAAUACACAAUACAUGGAAUUGCAGCAACACAGAGACACAGUGGUGCAGUAAUACUGAUGUAAUGAGGUCACAGGUGUAUGUUUGUAGAGUAAUUUACAACGGCUUCGAACGCAGCUCAACCAAUCAGAAUCAAGGGCCGGUGUCCUGACAUUUCAUCCUACCUGUCAGAUUGUCCUACCGGGGCUUACUGCGCAUGCGCACAUCAAUAUCGUUGACCACCAUGCCCAUAAUUUCGUGCUGCUGGCGUGUGGACUUCUUCCUGUAAGACAGACCACAGUAAUGAGGAUGCACGAACUUCUUCACGUAGGCUAUGGAAGAUAAAAUGUGGCAUGCAUCACUGAGCUAUGAAAGAUGAGUGGAAUACACUUUAUAAUUUCCUUUCGGUGGGGAUCAUACCCAUCAGGGUAUGAUAAGUCCAAAAAGCAGAAUCUUCGGAGAUAUGCACUCAAAUUCACUCUAAAAGGCAAAGUGUUAUAUUAAAUUUAAAUUUCAAUCAUGUUUAUUUUAUUAUUCAUCUGUUGCCAUCUUAAUGUAAAUUUGUCAUUUAUGACUAUAUGUUCACUUUAAUCUAGAUGGAGACCUUUUUUAUGAAAGCAGAAGAGUCAUCAGAACCAAAGAGGAAGCCAGAACUUCAUUCCUCUCCGAUUGGUGGGCACACAGGAAUUGGCAAAACACAUGCUGCCAUCUUUUUAUGAUAGUAUUUCUAUUUCCUGCUGCUGGAAUUCGAUGGUUGAGAUGACUGCAGAGACGGAUUCUACAUUUGUGAGAUGGACAUAGCUACUCCCAUUAUUUUCAGAGAAAAGGACAAGAGCGUAAUAGUCAAGUGCAAUAUUGCAAUCUAUGUGCGGGACUGAGGGAACUUUCUAGAAGAUAGCACUUGAAAAACACCUGGACCGGUGACACGCAAACACUAUCCGAGAGAGCUUCAGGAUUGGAGAAGAGAAAGAAUGUGCCAGACGAGAGCACGGGCAAGACAAAGCAACAGAUGCAGAAAUAUGAGUGAGCCGUGAACACACGUACACCGUUUGUUUGCAGAUUAAUAAUAACGGACUUGCGCAUGCCUAAUGUAUGACACCUGUAUGUCACUGAAAUCAUCUUUACCUUCAUUACAACGUCAUCCAUCAACUUUAUUGGUGACACUGGUUUUGUUUAUCCAGUCGCCGUUCAGUGUGUAUUUCACACAAAAACGGUGUGGGCUGCUCCGAAACAAUCGCAGAAAAUGCAGAGAGGUAGUGUUUAUUAAUAUUUCAUUUAACGUAUUAAUAAUACAAUUAAUGAAUUAUAUAUAUAUAUAUAUAUAUAUAUAUAUAUAUAUAUAUAUAUAUAUAUAUAUAUAUAGUAUAUUAUAGAGCCUCGCAGCAGCAUUUUGUACCAAUUGUAAACGGUUUAGUAAUGAUUUGUUAAUACCCACGUAUAGUGAGUUACAGUAGUCUAACUUUUUCGAAAUUGUGUGGUUUUUAAUGGUUUUACCUUUGCCAUUAUUCCAAAUAAUAAAAACAUGAUUUAACCACAAAAUAAAUAAAAUUUAAGAUCACUGUCAAAGGACACCCUCAGAUUCCGCUGCUCCUGGUGCUUCAAACCAUACAGCUUCAGUUUUAUCUUCAUUUAAGUUAAAAAAAAAAAAAAAAUUAACAACCUUCAUAGUUUGAGUUCAUGUCAGACCAACUCAAAACAACCUCCUUUUGCCAAGAUAACAGCUCUGAGUCUUCUUCUAUAAUGAGAUCAUUCCUCCAUACAGAAUCUCUCCAGAUCCUAAAGAGUCCCAGAUCCAUGUCAGUGCUUCUUGUCUUCAGUUCACCCCACUCAUUUUAUAGGGUUCAGGUCUGGGGACUGGGAUGGCCAUUGCAGAAGCUUGGUUUUGUGCUCAGUGACACAUUUUUGUGUUGGUUUUGAUGUUUGUUUUUGGAUCACUGCCCUGUUGGAAGAUCCAAACAUGGCCCAUUAUGUGAUUUAUAGCAGAGGCUGUCAGGUUUUGAUUUUUUAUCUGUUGGUAUUUUAUAGAAUCCAUGAUGCCAUAUAUCUGAAGAUGUACAGGACCUCCAGAAAAACAAUAGGCCCACAACAUUAAAGAUACAGCAGUGUAUUUCAUUUUAUACAUGGAGUACUUUUUAUCCCUGUGUGCACCAAACCCAUCUUAAGUGUUUGCUGCCAAAGAGCUUUUUUUUUUUUUUUUUUUUUCAUCUGACCAUAGAACCUGUCCCAUUUUAAGUUCCAGUAGAGUCAAGAAGCACCAACAUGGAGCUGGGAAUCUGAAGGAUCUGGAGAGAUUCUGUGUGGAGGAAUGGUCUCUGAUCUCUUGUCAGGUGUUCUCCAAACUCAUCAGGCAUUAUAGGAGAAGACUCACGCUUGUUUCACACCGCAAACGUCAGCGGUGCGUGAGCGUCGCGUUAGCAGGGAUAAGCUUUGUGUUUUACAUCAUCUGCCGCGUGCAUAAGCUUACAAGCCAGCAAACUCGGGUUUGAUUUGUGUAUGCUAGAGCCUAUAGCUGUCUGUGUAAUAACUAAAAUAAUGGUUAUAUAUCAUAUUUUCUGGCUAGUUUACUUUAUUUUUUUUUUUAUAAUACACCAUACUUUAACCCAAACUGAAUAGUUAAAAACAAGUUUAAAUGAGUAAAUCUUUUAUAAAUAUUUUUUUUAAUUUCUUUCCUGACAUACUCCAAUUCUGGUUAAAACACACUAGAUAAGCUUAUUCUGUGCAUUUUGAGCACUUUUUGUAUGAAAUCAUAUUUAUUUUGUUCAUCAAAGGUGUACUUUCACUUUAAUUGAGCGUUAGCAGCGCAGCAAAAAUAGACCCAGCGCCGAAACGAGCCUCUGCAUGCGGUGUGAAUGCUCUCAUCUGUUAACAUGGGCGCCGAAAAAAAUACACGCUGCUUACGCUUUGCUGAUGCAUGCGGUGUGAAACCGGCCUCAGAGCUGUUAUCUUGGGAAAAGGAGGUUGCAAGAAGUAUUUAAUAAAAGGGGGCAAAUAAUUGUUCCCAACAUGUUUUAGAGAAAAAUUAGAUUUUUCAAAUUUUUUGAAUAAAAUAUCUAAAGGAUAAACAAUGCAGAUUUAUUUUUUUUACAGCCAUCUUUGAUCAUAUUUAACCAGGGGGCAAAUAAUAUCUGACCAGCACUGUAGAUAGGUAGAUAGAUAGGCCUAUUCGUAACUAUAUUUAUACUGAAGAUUUUAUAACAUGCCUCUCCAUGAUAUGGGAGUUUUUAUCUUACACUUCAAAUAAAAUGCUACCAUUUUCACUACUGUCCAGUGACAAUUUGGAAAGUAAAUGCGACGGAAGCCUACUAUUUUAGUAAUGAACACAACUUUAAUUAUUCAGGAUGGGGCCGUUCACACAGAACACGUUUUGCCAUUCCAUUGCGCUACUUUUACAUUGUUUUUCAAUGUAAACGCGCUAGACAGACUUUGACCGUUGCACUCGUGUCUCGCAUCCAUAAUUUUGCAACGUCUCUUGCAUUACGCAGUCUUCUAAAAAUGCGGCGCUUAAGUUAAAAUAAGUUCAACUUUUUAAAAAAGGCAUCUCUAGACCUUGCUAUUUUAACCGCAAAAACGCAUUCUGUGUGACUGGUCCAAAGAUAAACAGUGCAUUCUUACUUCAGUGUUGCCUCGUACAUUCAGUUUAACAGCAUUAACAGCAAGCCAAAGAGGGCAAGGUUUCAAAUGAACAAUGCAUUGUCGUGGCAGAUUCGAUGUCUCUUUGUCCCUUCAGUUCUGGUCUCGAAGAAAAACUCACAGAGUCGAAGUUCCAGGUCUCAGAAGUAUUUCACUUUAUUGUCAAGCAACAAAGUGAGAUGCCAGCUCCACAUCUGAAUCUCUCUUAGCUGGGGCACAGUUUUUAUACAUUUUUCUUAUCUCUUAAAACACACCAAAGUAGUAUCAUUGGAUGGUAAUAUCCACCCUUACAUUUUCACAUAUUCUCACUUAAAGGUGCUCUUCCCCACACAUCUUUCCCAUGUACUCGCCGACCUUUCUACCAUAAUUAUCACAAAUAUGAUUGCAGGUGUUGUUUAUGUAAGAGACAAUUUUCUUAGUAAGGGUGACCAACUUCUAGCUACUGUACAUCUUUUGACUUAAUUUCUCAUGGGCCUUCUGCCAAUUUGAUGGUCAACCCUUUUCCCAUGGGCCAAAUGAAACAUUGUAUCAAACCAGUCAAUACACCCCAGAGGCAAGAAGCCUUCAUAUGACGCACUUAACAAUGGUCUUAUUCAUUUCACAGCCACCUGUUUGGUGGAAAAUUACCAACAAAAUAUGCUCAGUGGCCAAGUAAACUUGUCUGACCCUUACAGUUACAUAGGCCAAGAGGCCUCAAAACACUUCUAGCUUUUAUAGUAAGCAAACCAAUUUCUACAACAGUUUUUUUAUAGGAUGGAUAAAAUACUCCCAUGCAUUAUAUUCUUGCUCCGUCCAUGCAAUAAAUGCACAUUCUUGAAUAAAUUUUAACUGCUCAUCAUAUGACCCAUUUUAGUAUGCGCCGGCGG
Ctenopharyngodon idella (grass carp) is the source of this 8685-nucleotide long non-coding RNA. RefSeq lists it as uncharacterized. The record is from RefSeq and is a predicted model, not a curated record. The transcript is spliced from 4 exons. NCBI's taxonomy places the organism in Eukaryota, Metazoa, Chordata, Actinopteri, Cypriniformes, Xenocyprididae.